Molecule: unclassified non-coding RNA, 1010 nt
Filed under: Centruroides sculpturatus (bark scorpion)
Lineage: Eukaryota; Metazoa; Arthropoda; Arachnida; Scorpiones; Buthidae
Description: uncharacterized LOC111638021, transcript variant X2
Source: RNAcentral
UAAAAAGGGAAGAGUGUAGUCGCCAGUACAUUCAGUUACAAAAUGACACAAACGAGGAUAUACGCGACGUUUGGUGUUUUAUUAUUGAUCACAAUUGUUAUAUCAAAAGAAACUAAUGGAAGGACAUCACAUGUUGGAAGAUCCAAUAUGCCAAAUAUUUAUGAUAUUUUAUCACUUAUCUACAGACUUUGUUCCGUUAACGAGGGUGUUACUUAUUCCAAUUUGGAGUGUCUAGAUCAACAUAUGAAAACAGAAGUAGCAAAGAAACUUAACAACUGUUUUGCAAGGACCAAAUCGGAAGAUUCGGGUAUUUUUGGAUCUACUCCACCAGAUAAAAACGAAACAGACGAAAUAAAAAAUGACACAAAUGACAAAAGACAUCAAAAAACAAACGUUGAUUACAUAUGCGAACAAUUCACUAAAGUAUCACAAUGGUCAGCAAAACACCCCAAACCUCCAGAUGCAUUAACUAAAAUAAUCGGUUUGGGUGCAGUAGGCAGAAUGAUAUGCGUAAUGGGAAUCGUCCAAAGGCCAUUAGACGCUUGGGAAAAUGCAUUCUCGGAAUGUUUCCCACAAGAACCUAAAGGAAAGCACGAGAUACAAAAAUCGUACAACGAAUAAAUAUUCCAGUAUGUAAUCAAUGUAAAUACCCAUUCAUCCACGUCUGUUUAUUCAUUGAAAAAUACCAUCGGAAAUAUACUUUGAUACCAAAUAAUUAUUAAAAAAUUUUGUUUGAACGUAAUUUUAACUGUGCAUAAAAUAUAUGUUACUUGUUAUAUUACAUUAUUUAUAAUCAUUUUGUAAUAAUCGCGUAAUUACUAAAACUUGAUUAAAAAUUACAGAUUAUCUUUUAACCUUUAAUCAAACUAAUUAUUUUCGUUACUCUGCAUCUACUCUUUAAAAAGUAUAAUCUACUCUGUACUCUGUAAAGUAUAAAAUAUACGAAAUGUAAAUUGUAUUCAUUCUCAUCUAUAUAAAAUAUAAAAAUUAAAAUGUUUUGAAAUGCAUUU